RNAcentral lists this ribosomal RNA (344 nucleotides) under Allobates marchesianus (dull rocket frog). Its description in RNAcentral is "partial 12S ribosomal RNA". Lineage: Eukaryota; Metazoa; Chordata; Amphibia; Anura; Aromobatidae. The record is from RNAcentral.
ACUUUACACCACAUUCGCCCGGGAAUACAGCCAAGCUUAAAACCCAAAGGACUUGACGGUACCCCAUAUCCCCCUAGAGGAGCCUGUCCAAUAAUCGAUAAUCCACGUUUAACCUCACCAUUUUUAGCCUAUUCAGCCUGUAUACCUCCGUCGCCAGCUUACCACGUGAGCGUUAGUGAGUCUAAUGUUUUAUCAACAAUACGUCAGGUCAAGGUGCAGCUCAUAAAAUGGGAAGAGAUGGGCUACACUUUUUAUUUUAGACAAUACGAAAGAUUACUUAUGAAAAGUAAUCAGAAGGUGGAUUUUGGCAGUGGGAUAGAGUAACCGAAUAUUCGGCCAUCAAC